This 485-nucleotide ribosomal RNA is filed under the name uncultured bacterium. RNAcentral describes it as "partial 16S ribosomal RNA". It matches the Rfam family "Bacterial small subunit ribosomal RNA", at positions 899 to 1397 of the family's 1533-position model. The record is from RNAcentral.
ACUCAAAUGAAUUGACGGGGAGUCGCACAAGCAGUGGAGCAUGUGGUUUAAUUCGACGCUACGCGAAGAACCUUACCGAGGCUUGACAUCUUGGGAAUCCGCUGGAAACAGUGGAGUGCCUUCGGGAACCCAAUGACAGGUGUUGCAUGGCCGUCGUCAGCUCGUGUCGUGAGAUGUUGGGUUAAGUCCCGCAACGAGCGCAACCCUUAUUGUCUGUUGUAUUUUUCAGGCGAGACUGCCCGGGCCAACCGGGAGGAAGGUGGGGAUGACGUCAGGUCAGCAUGGCCCUUACGCCUCGGGCUACACACGUGCUACAAUGGCCGGUACAACGGGCUGCUAAGUCGCAAGACGGAGCUAAUCCCAUCAAAACCGGUCCCAGUUCGGAUUGGAGGCUGCAACUCGCCUUCAUGAAGUUGGAAUUGCUAGUAACCGUGGGUCAGCAUACCGCGGUGAAUACGUUCCCGACUCUUGUACACACCGCCCGU